UACGUAGGUGGCAAGCGUUAUCCGGAUUUAUUGGGUGUAAAGGGCGUGUAGGCGGGAGCGCAAGUCAGAUGUGAAAACUCAGGGCUCAACCCAUGGCCUGCAUUUGAAACUGUAGUUCUUGAGUGAUGGAGAGGCAGGCGGAAUUCCGUGUGUAGCGGUGAAAUGCGUAGAUAUACGGAGGAACACCAGUGGCGAAGGCGGCCUGCUGGACAUUAACUGACACUGAGGCGCGAAAGCGUGGGGAGCAAACAGG
Molecule: ribosomal RNA, 253 nt
Filed under: uncultured bacterium
Lineage: Bacteria
Description: partial 16S ribosomal RNA
Rfam family: Bacterial small subunit ribosomal RNA
Source: RNAcentral